This 1346-nucleotide ribosomal RNA is filed under the name uncultured bacterium. RNAcentral's name for it is "bacterial SSU rRNA". It matches the Rfam family "Bacterial small subunit ribosomal RNA", at positions 28 to 1381 of the family's 1533-position model. The record is from RNAcentral.
GACGAACGCUGGCGGCGUGCUUAACACAUGCAAGUCGAACGGAAAGGCCCUGCUUUUGUGGGGUGCUCGAGUGGCGAACGGGUGAGUAACACGUGAGUAACCUGCCCUUGACUUUGGGAUAACUUCAGGAAACUGGGGCUAAUACCGGAUAGGAGCUCCUGCUGCGUGGUGGGGGUUGGAAAGUUUCGGCGGUUGGGGAUGGACUCGCGGCUUAUCAGCUUGUUGGUGGGGUAGUGGCUUACCAAGGCUUUGACGGGUAGCCGGCCUGAGAGGGUGACCGGCCACAUUGGGACUGAGAUACGGCCCAGACUCCUACGGGAGGCAGCAGUGGGGAAUAUUGCACAAUGGGCGGAAGCCUGAUGCAGCAACGCCGCGUGCGGGAUGACGGCCUUCGGGUUGUAAACCGCUUUCGCCUGUGACGAAGCGUGAGUGACGGUAAUGGGUAAAGAAGCACCGGCUAACUACGUGCCAGCAGCCGCGGUGAUACGUAGGGUGCGAGCGUUGUCCGGAUUUAUUGGGCGUAAAGGGCUCGUAGGUGGUUGAUCGCGUCGGAAGUGUAAUCUUGGGGCUUAACCCUGAGCGUGCUUUCGAUACGGGUUGACUUGAGGAAGGUAGGGGAGAAUGGAGUUCCUGGUGGAGCGGUGGAAUGCGCAGAUAUCAGGAGGAACACCAGUGGCGAAGGCGGUUCUCUGGGCCUUUCCUGACGCUGAGGAGCGAAAGCGUGGGGAGCGAACAGGCUUAGAUACCCUGGUAGUCCACGCUGUAAACGGUGGGUACUAGGUGUGGGGUCCAUUCCACGGGUUCCGUGCCGUAGCUAACGCUUUAAGUACCCCGCCUGGGGAGUACGGCCGCAAGGCUAAAACUCAAAGGAAUUGACGGGGCCCCGCACAAGCGGCGGAGCAUGCGGAUUAAUUCGAUGCAACGCGUAGAACCUUACCUGGGUUUGACAUGGAUCGGGAGUGCCCAGAGAUGGGUGUGCCUCUUUUGGGGUCGGUUCACAGGUGGUGCAUGCCUGUCGUCAGCUCGUGUCGUGAGAUGUUGGGUUAAGUCCCGCAACGAGCGCAACCCUUGUUCACUGUUGCCAGCACGUUAUGGUGGGGACUCAGUGGAGACCGCCGGGGUCAACUCGGAGGAGGGUGGGGAUGACGUCAAGUCAUCAUGCCCCUUAUGUCCAGGGCUUCACGCAUGCUACAAUGGCUGGUACAGAGAGUGGCGAGCCUGUGAGGGUGAGCGAAUCUCGGAAAGCCGGUCUCAGUUCGGAUUGGGGUCUGCAACUCGACCUCAUGAAGUCGGAGUCGCUAGUAAUCGCAGAUCAGCAACGCUGCGGUGAAUACGUUCCCGGGGCU